UACAUCGGUCGAGACUUAUAUUUUCGAUUCGUCAACACUAAAACUCUCAUUCAAUAUUGUCAAAACUAAUCUAUGUGAAAUUUUGGACAAGUUUAUCAAGCGAUUAUAUAGCUCCCCAUAGGAAAGCUUACAGAAAUUUAAUCGUAAAUAAAGUUAUUGACCUAUUUGUGAAGCAAUUAUAUCUUGUAAAUAGAAUUUAACAAAUCCGUCCGCAGGAUGCGUUACGUAUAGUGAAAUAUGGUUAUGGUAAAAAAUUCACAUAUUUUUGAUAACGUUUGUGUCCCGAUCGAGGCGGUCAACCCUUUUUACGCUUAUUAUCCCCUAUGUGAGAGUGUGUACGUGAAAGAAUCCACUAAAACUACUCAAGAAGGAGGGGGUAAGCGCGUAUUCGCUUAAUUAGAUAAAGUUGAGUUAAUGUUGACCACAUCGAUCGAGACCCAAACUUUAUCAAAAUUAGGUGAAUUUUUGACCAUAUCUGUAUUUAAAUAUGCUGAUCACAUCGGACGAUCGAAAUUUAAUAUUUUGAAUUUUAAACCUUGGAACCACAACAUGCCUACUAAUGUAGUAUAACUUGUUUAGUGGCCUUUUUGCAAGUGUAUGAAUUUGUGAAGCAACUAUAUGUUGUAAAUAUAAUUUUGCAAAUCCAUCCAUAGGAUGCAUUACGUAUAGUGAAAUAUGGUUACAGUAAAAAAUCACAUAUUUUCGAUAACGUUUGUGUCCCGAUCGAGGCGGUCAACCCUUUUUACGCUUUAUUAUCCCCUAUGGGUAGCCCUAUCCCGGAAGAUAAAAUUUCUGAAAAUUUUACAGGAGCUACUACAUCACAUAUAUGUGAGAGUGUGUGCGUGAAAGAAUCCACCAAAACUACUCAAGAAGGAGGGGGUAAGAACGUAUUCGCUUAAUUAGAUGAAGUUGAGUUAAUGUUGACCACUUCGAUCGAGACCCAAAAUUUAUCAAAAUUAGGUGAAUUUUUUAGCAUAUAUGUAUUUAAAUACGCUGAUCACAUCUGACAGUCAAAAUUUAAUAUUUUGAAUUUUAAACCUUGGAACCACAACAUGCCUACUAAUGUGGUAUAACUUGUUUAGUGGCAUUUUUGCAAGUGUGUGCAUUUGUGAAGCAACUAUAUCUUGUAAAUAGAAUUUUGCAAAUCCGUCCGCAGGAUGUGUUAUGUAUAGUGAAAAAUGGUUAUGGUAAAAAAUCACAUAUUUUUUUAUAACAUUUGUGUCCCGAUCGAGGCGGUCAACCCUUUUACGCUUAUCCUCUUCUAUGGGUAACUCUAUCCUCGAAAGGUAAAAUUUAUGAAAAUUCUACACAAGCUGCUAUAUAACAUGUAUGUUAGUGUGUGUGCAUGAAAGAAUCGACCAAAACUAGUAAAUAAGUAGGGGGUAAUAGCGUUUUUGCUUAAUUAGAUGAGGUUGAGUUAAUGUUGACUGCAUGGAUCGAGACCCAAACUUUAUCGAAAUUAGGUGAAUUUUUAACUAUAUCUGUAUUUAAAUACGCUGAUCAUAUCAGAUGGUCGAAAUUUAAUAUUUUAAAUUUUAGACAUUAGAACCACAAUAUGACUAUGGUUUAGGGUUUAGAGUUUAGGGCAGCCCCCUUCCAUUGAGGGAUCCCUAUUUUUGGCCACUUUCUAGGGAUAGGGCAUUACACCACUUCCCAAUUGAAUUUUUACAUCUCCACCGUUCAUAUCUUAGGUCUAUAUGAGUAGAUCAUCUCUACAAAAUUUCAUAUGAUUUGGUGAUCGUUAAGGCUUUCAAAAGUUUGAUUUAGUUUUAAUGAUUUUGAACGGUCCAGCUUAUGUCAAACUAAAACCGUUGAAGGUCAUUAAAACUAAAUUGAACUUUUGAAAGCCUUAACGAUCACCAAAUCAUAUGAAAUUUUGUAGACGUGAUCUACUCAUAUAGACCUAAGAUAUGAACGGUGGAGAUGUAAAAUUAUAAUCGGGAAGUUGAUGUAAUGCCCUAUCCCUAUAAAUGGCUUAAAAUAGGGAUCCCUAAUUGGAAGGGCUUGAAGUUUAGGGUAUUCUUUCUACUCAAAUUUUGGAGCAAUUUGAAAUGAAAUUUUUGAAAUUUCCAUCAAAAUUUUAGCGGUGCCUUAUCCUCUUUACUUACUCUCCAACCCGGCCUAUUCUUCCCCAAACACAAUUUCUCCCAUUCUUCCCCGAUCUACUUCUGCUCCUCUCCUCCACCCUCACCUCCUCGAGCCCUCGAGCACUGAUCUCCUCCCACCAAGCCCCUAAGUCGACAACAUCACCCUCAUCUCAGCCUUCCUCGGCCCCUCAGUCUUCUUCGAAGAAUCCAUCCUCUUUCGAAGGCUCCAUCCUCCUUCGAUUCCCAGAUUAAGAAUCAGGUUUGUGUUCUUCGAUCUUCUUCCGUUGUUCUUUUCAAUUUGUUAAUCACAGCUUUCUACUUUCCUUUUACUGAGCUUAUAUACUCUUCUUUUCUAUGGUUUUCUGCAAAUAUGUCUUGAGGAGAGAGGGAAGAAGGAUCUGGGCCAUAUCUGGGCCAUUGGUCCUAAAGUAUAAGGCUACAGAUCUCUCUCUUUCAACCCUAAUUUCUCAUUUUUUUUUCGAGAGAGGGAGAGACUAAGAGAGAAAGAGCGACGCUGCCGCCGCCCUUCCAAUCGCUCCUCUGCCGCCUUCAGGCCGUUGCCUGCCAAACAGAGACCACCAUUCGAUUCGCCCCUUUCUCCUCUUUCUAUCCCUGCCACCAAAUCACACAUUCACUGACCUUCUUUUCUGAUUAGAAAUCGAACCUUAGCCUGACUCCUCAAAUAGGAUUUCGCCCCUUUCACAGUUGCAGCCUUGAUGCCAAAAUCAAGAACAAUCUGGGUGAGUUCAGAUUUGGUGUAUGUUUCUGAGUUCAAUUUGCUAUUUAUCUUGAGUUAUUGACCCUUCAAUCUAUCUAGUCCCUUCAUUUUAGUUUCUAGAAAUAAGGAAUACAAAAUAUCAUAGAUUCAGAAAAAAGAGAAAGGAAUUCUUGACAAUAAUUCUUAUCUAGAACUUGUUAUAGUUUAGUUAAGAUUAGACAGAACAUGCAUUGAAACCUCACCAACAACAAUGUGAGUGGUAGGAGCCACCCUUGUUCGAUCUAGCUAGCUUCUUCAAUUAUCAGAAGCCAAAGCAAUUAUAUCAUAUGCAUAUUAUUACAAAACAUGCACUAAAGCUUCUUCGUAUGCAUAUUAUCCCAUUUAUUGAUCU
This 3196-nucleotide long non-coding RNA is filed under the name Fragaria vesca (wild strawberry). RNAcentral describes it as "long non-coding RNA (FVES_LNC005457)". Lineage: Eukaryota; Viridiplantae; Streptophyta; Magnoliopsida; Rosales; Rosaceae. The record is from RNAcentral.